GCAGUAAGUGGGCUUCUUGGUCACUUUCACAGCCUUUCUUUACCGGUUCUCACUGUGGUCUGGAAGAAAGGACUUGAAGGCAGAGGGCAGUAAAGACAGAGGAACAAAGCUGGGGGGUACGCUUUGGGCUGGAAAAGGAGGGAAAAGUGAUCCUUUAAUUAAGACGAGUGUCCUUUUGUACCUGUACUGUAUCUUUUUGAUGUGUCGAGGUAGAGAGGACAUGAGCAAAAGAGAAACAAUGUAAGUUUGCUACUGUAUGAAUUCCUCCUCCUUAUACUUAAUCCCAUCCUUAUUGGGGCCCCGGGUAGAAAGCUGAUAAUUUCGGUGAGACCUCAAAGAAAGGCAGUGGCUUGAAUUCCUGCCACCAUCCCCUUGAUAAUGAACAGGCCUAAUGAAUGCGGGUAAGUGGUAGGAAUCUGUGACCAGCUGCAACGGGGCAGGUAAUACAGCUCAGAUUUAAUUGGGAGCAGGUAUUGGAAGGCUGUAUUACUUUAAUUGGUGAGGGGUUUUCUAAAUGGAAAGGACAAAGUAUAAUGGACAAAUUGUGCAGUACAAUAGCACUUAAGCCGGGAUUGUAUGCAUUCGUUAAUCUGCUGAGGAAUGAGGCAAUUCUAAACAAUUUUCUCAGUGAAACCAACUCCAGAAAGCUCGUACCUUUUGUUCUCCCUUGGGAAAAUGUAAGAUUGAAACAGAAAAUACCUUUACCGAGGCAAUCAUGUGCCACGUGUGGAAAGCGGAUACAGCUGUAAACUAUGAAAAAGGGAUCUUUGUAGUACAAUAAAGGAUGGAAAAAGAGAUAAAGCUCGGGAUAAGAGUGAGCCUGUCACUGCCUCUAAAGGAGGAAUAAAGUGAUGGCAUUUACAGUGACAGACGAGACUCUAAAGAGAACGCGGGACAGUUUAGAGAGGGAAAUUUGAUAUUUAAAAGAAAGGGCUGUGAUAAUUAAAAGUAGCAUUACAUUAAACUCUUACGCAUAUCGUUAAUGACAGAAGGAAACUGGUGCCUUUUAAAAAGUUAAUGAUUCUUAUAAAACCAUUCUUGAAACCUUACACUUUUAGAAGUCGGUAUGAACAUAAACUGGGCCUCACAGGUUGUAUUUCUGAUUUCCAACUUCCCUUAAAAGUAUAACAAGCGGGGCGCCUGGGUGGCUCAGUCGGUUAAGCAUCCGGCUUCGGCUCAGGUCAUGAUCUCAUGGUUCGUGAGUUCGAGCCCCACGUCGGGCUCUGUGCUGACAGCUUGGAGCUCUCUUUGGAUCCUGUGUCCCCCUCUCUCUGUGUCCCUCCCCCACUUCUCUCUCUCUCUCUCUAAAUAAAUAAAUAGGUAAACAAACAUUAAAAAAAAUCUCAAAUAUAACAAUCAAUACAAUUGGAAUUAUACUCCAGUAAUUCUGUGGCAUAUCGCUCCAUGGAUAAGUGCUCAAGACCUGUGCAGCCACGGAAAGGAUGGUCUGGGACCAGUCAUGGAAACGUUGCCACAAAAGGCUGUCGUAUUGAUACGUGGGUAUAAAAUGAACCUACGGGACAUUCAUUGUCAAGCUCAUGCUAUUUUCCUUGUUUUCCUUUGAUGAUUUAUAUUUGACAACAUCCAAGAGCCAAUCUAUGGGAUGCCACCUCUGAGGGAAAAAAAAAAAAAAAAAGCUUCCAGAUUUGUCGUUCCGAGACCUGCUCUGAUGGGACUGUUUAACCCGACUUUCAAACUGGUUUAACUUAAUGGUUGACGAGCAACAGUACCUGAGUUCUUUUAAGGGGACUCUUACACUUGUAUAUUUCAUUACAGGUGGGAAAACUGGAAAGAUUGAAUAUCCUUUGGAGUUCACAGAGGUUUGGCAGUGGGAGAAGAAAAACAAAACAGAGCCUGGUGGGAGUGUUGAGCAGACUUUCCCAAGAUCCCAGG
Molecule: long non-coding RNA, 1893 nt
Filed under: Lynx pardinus (Iberian lynx)
Lineage: Eukaryota; Metazoa; Chordata; Mammalia; Carnivora; Felidae
Source: RNAcentral